This 45-nucleotide non-coding RNA is filed under the name Schistosoma curassoni. The record is from RNAcentral. Lineage: Eukaryota; Metazoa; Platyhelminthes; Trematoda; Strigeidida; Schistosomatidae.
AUCCAGCUGAUGAGUCCAAAAUAGGAUGAAACACGCAUCCUGGAU